UACGGAGGGUGCAAGCGUUGUCCGGAUUUAUUGGGUUUAAAGGGUGCGUAGGCGGCUGAUUAAGUCAGCGGUGAAAUUCCACAGCUUAACUGUGGAACUGCCAUUGAUACUGGUUAGCUUGAGUACAGAUGAGGUAGGCGGAAUUGACAGUGUAGCGGUGAAAUGCUUAGAUAUUGUCAAGAACACCUAUUGCGAAGGCAGCUUACUAAACUGUAACUGACGCUGAGGCACGAAAGCGUGGGGAUCAAACAGG
Molecule: ribosomal RNA, 253 nt
Filed under: uncultured bacterium
Lineage: Bacteria
Description: partial 16S ribosomal RNA
Rfam family: Bacterial small subunit ribosomal RNA
Source: RNAcentral